CCUACGGGUGACAGCAGUGAGGAAUAUUGGUCAAUGGGCGAGAGCCUGAACCAGCCAAGUCGCGUGAAGGAUGACGGCCCUACGGGUUGUAAACUUCUUUUGUCAGGGAGCAAUUGGGUCCACGCGUGGGCUUAGCGAGAGUACCUGAAGAAAAAGCAUCGGCUAACUCCGUGCCAGCAGCCGCGGUAAUACGGAGGAUGCGAGCGUUAUCCGGAUUUAUUGGGUUUAAAGGGUGCGUAGGCGGAAUAGCAAGUCAGCGGUAAAAAUUCGGGGCUCAACCCCGUCGUGCCGUUGAAACUGGUGGUCUUGAGUGGGCGAGAAGUAUGCGGAAUGCGUGGUGUAGCGGUGAAAUGCAUAGAUAUCACGAAGAACUCCGAUUGCGAAGGCAGCAUACCGGCGCCCAACUGACGCUGAAGCACGAAAGCGUGGGUAUCGAACAGGAUUAGAUACCCUAGUAGUC
This 460-nucleotide ribosomal RNA is filed under the name uncultured bacterium. Its description in RNAcentral is "partial 16S ribosomal RNA". It matches the Rfam family "Bacterial small subunit ribosomal RNA", at positions 338 to 795 of the family's 1533-position model. The record is from RNAcentral.